This is a long non-coding RNA of Tympanuchus pallidicinctus (lesser prairie-chicken), 2503 nucleotides long. RefSeq lists it as uncharacterized. The transcript is spliced from 2 exons. The record is from RefSeq and is a predicted model, not a curated record. Lineage: Eukaryota; Metazoa; Chordata; Aves; Galliformes; Phasianidae.
AUUAAGCAGCAAUUAUCUCUAACUCAUUGCACCUACUAAUAAUGCUCUGGGAGGAGGCUAUGGGGUAUGAGCUCAACCAGGAGAUCUGCAACAGGCAGGGCUGAGUGCCUGGGACUGCAUCAGCAAUAUGGCAUGGGCAGCAGAGCCUGCGCUCACCAGCGUGCCCUCGUGUCAUUGUCACCUCUUCCAGCAUGAAGAGCCCUGACUGAGUCAUCCCCCAGCUAAACGCAGUGUGUGGGCUUGUGCAGCGUUAGGCUGUUCAUCCUCUACUUGCUGCAGCCUGACACUGGGUAGAACAGCUAUUCAUCAGCUCAGGGAUGAGGCGAGAUGGAUGUCCUGUGCUGCAGCGUGAGCUUCGUUCUCCUCCCACCCACGGGACCGGAGUGGUCCAGCAUGGACGACUGAAGUGCUCGCUGCCUGGAAAGCUCGAGAGAUCUUGAGAGAAAUAUGGACUUGUGCUUUGCACCGACUGAUUUCAUGCUCCUGUUCUACAAGUGCUGGAGCCUCUGUGGAGUGCAGGCUCUUGAAAAUGUUUCCACCACGUGUGUCACAGCAGCUCUAGGGAGAGGGAGGACGCAGUGGUGACGGCAGCAUCUCACAGCUGCUGGUGUUCGGUCUUUCUGGUGGCCUUGGGGCUGUGGUGGCCAUGGUGGCUGUUGAAUGUCUCUUUGGUGCCUAUCCUGCCCUGGCCCUGCUGCCUUUCUCCUGCCUACGGCUUUGCCAUGUGCAGCUCUUGCAGGUGCACGUGCCUGGCUGAUGAAGGGCCAGGAAUUGUUGGGGUGUAUUUUUUUCAGCUCUCAAGUAACUGAAGUGUCUUUGUGGAGUUUAGCAGCUCUCUUUACAUAUGAAAUAGGUCUCCAGAGAGCAAAUCCAGAGUGAAAUGUUUCUCCUUGUGACUGACACCAAGCUCUUUCUGCUAAUGAUGUUUAAAAGCUUUUUGCCUGUCGGCUGCAUGGUCACCUGUUCCUGUACCUUCACUGUGCAGUGUGGUGGCACACGUGCCAGCUGACCUGGCUUCCCCGAGCUCCAUCACCACAUCUGCAGGAACCAAGCUAACAACACUGUGUUGUUGAGGGCAUUGGAGCACAGCUUGCCAUGGGGGCAGCUACCUCUCCAGAAGCAAAGCAUGUUUUGCCACCCCCCCCUAACCAGUGUAGCUUAAAACGGGGAAAUUGCAGCAGCAUUUUCUGCUGCAAACCCUUCUGCUGCUCCAAGGAGGCUGGGGAGCACCAAGGGACCAAUGGUCCAUCCAUGCAUGUGCUCUGCUGGUGGGAAAUGGGCUGACACCUCCCUGUGCGAGGGGGCACUGAUGACUAUCUUGUUACACAGACAGGGGUCUUGUUUUGACAAACUGUUCUAAGAAAUAUAAGAAAGCAGGACUUCUUGAGGGCUGCACUCUGGAAAGCAGCUGCUACAGCUGUGCCCUGGAAGGACUUGUGUUCCUGGUACAGAAGAGCUGGGCUUUGCUGGGUGUGUGCUUUCACAUAAGCUGAUGAUCCACUUGUGCUGUAGGUGUUACCACUGCUUGCAGCCAGCCCAGAGUUCCUGCAGCUCCUCCAGCCUCUUCCCCCCCUGCAGGAAGGUUGCUCCAAGGUGGGACUGGGGCUCCGAACACCAGGGCUGCCCUCACUAUGUGUCACCCACAGAUUAUGCCCUUCAGCUCCAAGGUUCCCCACCUGGUGCCUGGAGCUCCUGGAAGGCAUGCAGCUUGCUCCCAGCACUUGCCUGUUAACACUGUGGCAGCUGGGGCCACCCAGCCCCAUGGGGCUGGAAGCAUCUGCUUUGGGUGUCUGUUGGCAGCAAUUAUGCAGCACAGCAGUGAUGGCGGGGCAAGGGAAGCUGUCACACAAGGGCACAGCUUGGCCUCGUGUCCCUUUGCCUGCUCAGGGGUGGCCUCAUGUCCUUGGCACUCAGGACAUCAUUGGCUGCCUUUCCCUGCACGAAGGAGGGUUUCUUGUUGUCACAGCUCAUCUUCUCUGAGCUCUUCCUAUUGUGGAUGCCAAUGGUGGCACGGGGGCUCCAAGUGCUGUGAAGGGUGAGCUUUGGCUUGUGGAUCUAGAGCAUCUGUGCAAGGACAGGCAGUGUUUGGUAGCUACUGAAGUAUCAGCUCUGUGGGGUAUUUUCCUUGGUGGUGGCAGGAGGAGCUGCUCAUUCUUUUUGGCUCUCCAGGUCCAACCGUGGUGGAUGUAACCCCCUCUAAUUGUGUGGGGAGUCCUGCCCAUAAAACAUGUUGCCAACAGCACAACUGGGAACAAAUGCACGAUGAACUCUAUUUCAAAUGGUGUGGCUUUUCAACCCCAUCAAACAACUUUAUUCACACAAACGUCUCUUAAUUUACAAAGCCUCUGCCACUCAUACACAUCAGGGUAUCCACAGUGUUCAAAACUUAAAUAGAACGUCUCAUACCAACCCGAGUAAACCAAGUACAAAAAAAAUAUUUAUAUAAAGUUGUUCACACAUAGGUCCUAGAUCACCAGCUUCUGUGCAAGGAAAAAAAAAGAAA